UACGCAGGUCCCGAGCGUUGUCCGGAUUUAUUGGGCGUAAAGCGAGCGCAGGUGGUUUAUUAAGUCUGGUGUAAAAGGCAGUGGCUCAACCAUUGUAUGCAUUGGAAACUGGUAGACUUGAGUGCAGGAGAGGAGAGUGGAAUUCCAUGUGUAGCGGUGAAAUGCGUAGAUAUAUGGAGGAACACCGGUGGCGAAGGCAGCUUACCAAUCUAUAUCUGACGUUGAGGCACGAAAGCGUGGGGAGCAAACAGG
This 252-nucleotide ribosomal RNA is filed under the name uncultured bacterium. RNAcentral describes it as "partial 16S ribosomal RNA". It matches the Rfam family "Bacterial small subunit ribosomal RNA", at positions 524 to 776 of the family's 1533-position model. The record is from RNAcentral.